UGCCCGGUGGUGUAAAUGGCAACACAGCAGAAUUUGGAUCUGCUUUUCCAGGUUCGAGUCCUGGCUGGGCAG
Molecule: transfer RNA, 72 nt
Filed under: Candidatus Omnitrophota bacterium
Lineage: Bacteria; Pseudomonadati; Candidatus Omnitrophota
Description: tRNA-Gln
Rfam family: tRNA
About the family: Transfer RNA (tRNA) molecules are approximately 80 nucleotides in length. Their secondary structure includes four short double-helical elements and three loops (D, anti-codon, and T loops).
Source: RNAcentral